UUUGGUGGCGAUAGCGAAGAGGUCACACUCGUUCCCAUGCCGAACACGAUCGUUAAGCUCUUCAGCGCCGAUGGUAGUUGGGGGUUUCCCCCUGUGAGAGUAGGACGUCGCCAAGC
RNAcentral lists this ribosomal RNA (116 nucleotides) under Anaerobacillus sp. CMMVII. Lineage: Bacteria; Bacillati; Bacillota; Bacilli; Caryophanales; Bacillaceae. The record is from RNAcentral.